AGCGUACACGGUGGAUGCCCUGGCAGUCAGAGGCGAUGAAGGACGUGCUAAUCUGCGAUAAGCGUCGGUAAGGUGAUAUGAACCGUUAUAACCGGCGAUUUCCGAAUGGGGAAACCCAGUGUGUUUCGACACACUAUCAUUAACUGAAUCCAUAGGUUAAUGAGGCGAACCGGGGGAACUGAAACAUCUAAGUACCCCGAGGAAAAGAAAUCAACCGAGAUUCCCCCAGUAGCGGCGAGCGAACGGGGAGCAGCCCAGAGCCUGAAUCAGUGUGUGUGUUAGUGGAAGCGUCUGGAAAGGCGCGCGAUACAGGGUGACAGCCCCGUACACAAAAAUGCACAUAUUGUGAGCUCGAUGAGUAGGGCGGGACACGUGGUAUCCUGUCUGAAUAUGGGGGGACCAUCCUCCAAGGCUAAAUACUCCUGACUGACCGAUAGUGAACCAGUACCGUGAGGGAAAGGCGAAAAGAACCCCGGCGAGGGGAGUGAAAAAGAACCUGAAACCGUGUACGUACAAGCAGUGGGAGCACGCUUAGGCGUGUGACUGCGUACCUUUUGUAUAAUGGGUCAGCGACUUAUAUUCUGUAGCAAGGUUAACCGAAUAGGGGAGCCGAAGGGAAACCGAGUCUUAACUGGGCGUUAAGUUGCAGGGUAUAGACCCGAAACCCGGUGAUCUAGCCAUGGGCAGGUUGAAGGUUGGGUAACACUAACUGGAGGACCGAACCGACUAAUGUUGAAAAAUUAGCGGAUGACUUGUGGCUGGGGGUGAAAGGCCAAUCAAACCGGGAGAUAGCUGGUUCUCCCCGAAAGCUAUUUAGGUAGCGCCUCGUGAAUUCAUCUCCGGGGGUAGAGCACUGUUUCGGCAAGGGGGUCAUCCCGACUUACCAACCCGAUGCAAACUGCGAAUACCGGAGAAUGUUAUCACGGGAGACACACGGCGGGUGCUAACGUCCGUCGUGAAGAGGGAAACAACCCAGACCGCCAGCUAAGGUCCCAAAGUCAUGGUUAAGUGGGAAACGAUGUGGGAAGGCCCAGACAGCCAGGAUGUUGGCUUAGAAGCAGCCAUCAUUUAAAGAAAGCGUAAUAGCUCACUGGUCGAGUCGGCCUGCGCGGAAGAUGUAACGGGGCUAAACCAUGCACCGAAGCUGCGGCAGCGACGCUGAUGCGUUGUUGGGUAGGGGAGCGUUCUGUAAGCCUGUGAAGGUGUGCUGUGAGGCAUGCUGGAGGUAUCAGAAGUGCGAAUGCUGACAUAAGUAACGAUAAAGCGGGUGAAAAGCCCGCUCGCCGGAAGACCAAGGGUUCCUGUCCAACGUUAAUCGGGGCAGGGUGAGUCGACCCCUAAGGCGAGGCCGAAAGGCGUAGUCGAUGGGAAACAGGUUAAUAUUCCUGUACUUGGUGUUACUGCGAAGGGGGGACGGAGAAGGCUAUGUUGGCCGGGCGACGGUUGUCCCGGUUUAAGCGUGUAGGCUGGUUUUCCAGGCAAAUCCGGAAAAUCAAGGCUGAGGCGUGAUGACGAGGCACUACGGUGCUGAAGCAACAAAUGCCCUGCUUCCAGGAAAAGCCUCUAAGCAUCAGGUAACAUCAAAUCGUACCCCAAACCGACACAGGUGGUCAGGUAGAGAAUACCAAGGCGCUUGAGAGAACUCGGGUGAAGGAACUAGGCAAAAUGGUGCCGUAACUUCGGGAGAAGGCACGCUGAUAUGUAGGUGAAGUCCCUCGCGGAUGGAGCUGAAAUCAGUCGAAGAUACCAGCUGGCUGCAACUGUUUAUUAAAAACACAGCACUGUGCAAACACGAAAGUGGACGUAUACGGUGUGACGCCUGCCCGGUGCCGGAAGGUUAAUUGAUGGGGUUAGCCGCAAGGCGAAGCUCUUGAUCGAAGCCCCGGUAAACGGCGGCCGUAACUAUAACGGUCCUAAGGUAGCGAAAUUCCUUGUCGGGUAAGUUCCGACCUGCACGAAUGGCGUAAUGAUGGCCAGGCUGUCUCCACCCGAGACUCAGUGAAAUUGAACUCGCUGUGAAGAUGCAGUGUACCCGCGGCAAGACGGAAAGACCCCGUGAACCUUUACUAUAGCUUGACACUGAACAUUGAGCCUUGAUGUGUAGGAUAGGUGGGAGGCUUAGAAGUGUGGACGCCAGUCUGCAUGGAGCCGACCUUGAAAUACCACCCUUUAAUGUUUGAUGUUCUAACGUUGACCCGUAAUCCGGGUUGCGGACAGUGUCUGGUGGGUAGUUUGACUGGGGCGGUCUCCUCCUAAAGAGUAACGGAGGAGCACGAAGGUUGGCUAAUCCUGGUCGGACAUCAGGAGGUUAGUGCAAUGGCAUAAGCCAGCUUGACUGCGAGCGUGACGGCGCGAGCAGGUGCGAAAGCAGGUCAUAGUGAUCCGGUGGUUCUGAAUGGAAGGGCCAUCGCUCAACGGAUAAAAGGUACUCCGGGGAUAACAGGCUGAUACCGCCCAAGAGUUCAUAUCGACGGCGGUGUUUGGCACCUCGAUGUCGGCUCAUCACAUCCUGGGGCUGAAGUAGGUCCCAAGGGUAUGGCUGUUCGCCAUUUAAAGUGGUACGCGAGCUGGGUUUAGAACGUCGUGAGACAGUUCGGUCCCUAUCUGCCGUGGGCGCUGGAGAACUGAGGGGGGCUGCUCCUAGUACGAGAGGACCGGAGUGGACGCAUCACUGGUGUUCGGGUUGUCAUGCCAAUGGCACUGCCCGGUAGCUAAAUGCGGAAGAGAUAAGUGCUGAAAGCAUCUAAGCACGAAACUUGCCCCGAGAUGAGUUCUCCCUGACUCCUUGA
Molecule: ribosomal RNA, 2789 nt
Filed under: Escherichia coli
Lineage: Bacteria; Pseudomonadati; Pseudomonadota; Gammaproteobacteria; Enterobacterales; Enterobacteriaceae
Description: bacterial LSU rRNA
Rfam family: Bacterial large subunit ribosomal RNA
Source: RNAcentral